UAAAAAGCAGGUCAUUCUGCACGCCGGACGGCCACCUGACAGCCAAGUCUACAUUCAUGAGCACGCCAACAGAUUUAAAAAAAAAAGGGCAGUGGCACAAAAUCUUGACAUUUUUGCCGAUGCCUCCCCAUCCCGCGAUGAUGUCAGAUGGAGACACGAUCAUGUGAUGCUGGCAGGAGUUCCAGAGCGUUUCAGUCUCAUGACGCUGGUGAUGAACAGAUGAACGGAUGCUGAAUGUCAGCAGAGCAGCUAGUAGAAACCCAACUCCUGGGGUUUUUGACCAGCAUGCAGUUGGGACCAUCACCAUCCUCAGAGUGAGCCCCCGUCAGCCUGAAGGAGGGGUGACUGUCAGCCUGGUUCCAUUGGGCCAGACCUUCAUGUAAACCUGAGGAGCACAAAGCAAUGAGAAGACUUUUCUGUGAACUCUGAAGCGGCCCCCCGAGCUGGAGAGGAGUCAGACUCUGGAUCUGACAAAGAGGAGACGCAGAUUCCGCUUGAGAACAGCUAACGAGAGCGAUGGGGUGCUCUGUAGGAACCUUUAUGAAGGCAGUCUGAUCGGUGUCACCUCGUCUGGGGUCGAUGAUCUCCACAGUGGCAGAUGUUGUCUGUCCUAGAACAGCGUUUUGAGGAUUCUUCAGGAAGACGGUGAAGGUCUCGUGGUUCUCUUCCAGACCGUCGUUG
Oryzias melastigma (Indian medaka) is the source of this 681-nucleotide long non-coding RNA. RefSeq lists it as uncharacterized. Lineage: Eukaryota; Metazoa; Chordata; Actinopteri; Beloniformes; Adrianichthyidae. The record is from RefSeq and is a predicted model, not a curated record. The transcript has 4 exons.